GCCUUUAUUAACAAGGCGGGCGCCAGCUGGAGCGCGGGGCCCGGGAGAGAGGAGCUGCUGCAGCAGAGGCAGCUGCGGGGAGCUGCCCUCCUGGCCAGGGCAGCAGGUAAACAACAGAGGGCGCCUGGGCCUCAGAGCCCACCCACCCUCAGCCACUGCACCACCGGCCCCCUAGCUUGAUCCCCUCAUCUCUUCUGUUUCUUCCGUGCUGGAGGAAACAGAUGUGAUGACCAGAGGUGCAGCAGCCACCAUGUGACCAUGAGGAGGACAUGUAUAGCUAUGACAGAGCAGGAAAACAGAGAUCCCACGUCCCCAGG
RNAcentral lists this long non-coding RNA (317 nucleotides) under Homo sapiens (human). Its description in RNAcentral is "HSALNT0333909". The record is from RNAcentral. Lineage: Eukaryota; Metazoa; Chordata; Mammalia; Primates; Hominidae.